UUCCGCUCUCCGUUUCAAAAAACCCCUCUUCGGCGCCCAAAUCUUCUCCACGACGCCUUUCUUCCUCUUCCUACCAUUUCCCCUCUCGCUUUGGAGGCGCCGUCGACGCUCUCGAUAACCCGACAAACCCUAGUCUCCGAUGGCUCACUUCACGGAUCGUUGAGUUCUAGGAUGGCGGCGGCCGCUCGAUCUGAUCGAUGGUAGAUCGCUGAGAACCGAAACCAUCGAAACGUCACUGAGACUCGUCUCCUAUGGCUCAGCUCGUCGAGCUCUCGCGACGGUGGCUUCUCGGUCUAAUGCCUAUCUCCCUUUCAUUUCUUGAUUAGGAUUGUGUCCGUUAUUGAGUGCUUUUGAGUUUUAAGAUGUUCUUGGGCGCCGAUCUUCGAGGAAGCAAUCGCCGUAGCGGCAUGGAAGGCUCAUACAGCUCGCCGUUUUCUUGACGGCGCCGACAAAACCCUUGAAACGGCAAUUCCCGCUGGCUCACGUUUCGGAUAGUCGUGCUUCCGACGCAGCAACUUGUUAAGAUUCUACACGCUGGGUGCUUGAGGAUACGUCCAGGCUGGAUGGCUUCUGUAGUAAUAGAAUCAUUAUCUUUAUCUUAAAGCUGGAUGGCUGCAGUGUGGAUCAAGUCUUCUUCUGGAUCUUGUUAAAGGUAAAUACAGAGUUGUAAUUUAUUGCUCAGGCUUUUGAUCAGUGAAAAGGAAAAGCAAAGGAGGCAAGAAAUCAAGAUUAUUAACAAGACAACGAAGUGAAAAGAGGGUUAGGGUUUUGAUCUGCGCCAAUCUCGCGGAUCAAUACAAGGCAGACAAAGAAGAAAGAAAGAAAUCAAGAGAAUUAAUAACGACAGAACAAGAUGAAAAGAGGGUUAGCCUUUCGAUCGAUCGACAUGGAAGAUGAUGGGCUUUACCCAAAACGGAGAUGGAAGGGAUUGCCCGGCUUCCGUCUCAGCCCCUUCCUCCACCGCCACAAUUCUUGCUACAUCGAGAUCGGAGAUCGAGUCGCAUCCUGGGAACCGAGGGCGGGAAGGGGAAGGGGGUUUCAAUCAGGCUCGGAGGAGGCCAUUCGAUGCGUGAUGUGCUCAGGUUUUGGAGGAAGCCCGCUACACGUGUUCUUAUAUAGGGCACGGCGUCUCUCUCUUUCUCUCUCUCUCUCUCUCUCUCUCUCUCUCUCUCUCUAUAUAUAUAUAUAUAUAUAUAUAUAUAUACCUUGCAUGCAUCAUUAAUGUG
Molecule: long non-coding RNA, 1226 nt
Organism: Musa acuminata AAA Group (dessert banana)
Lineage: Eukaryota; Viridiplantae; Streptophyta; Magnoliopsida; Zingiberales; Musaceae
Exons: 3
Source: RefSeq, a predicted model, not a curated record